Molecule: long non-coding RNA, 961 nt
Organism: Lathyrus oleraceus (garden pea)
Lineage: Eukaryota; Viridiplantae; Streptophyta; Magnoliopsida; Fabales; Fabaceae
Exons: 2
Source: RefSeq, a predicted model, not a curated record
ACUUUGGUAAACAAGUAAGGUUCAAUGUUGAAAAAGAAAAAUACAACUUUACCAAAUUAAUCGACUUUUCACGUUCCAUCAAAAUUAGUCUACCUUUUAGACUUUACAACUUGCCUUAACUGUACGCUCCCUCAUCGAUUUCAUUCUCUGUUUGUAUCCGAUUUGAUUUCUUUCGCCGUUUUUCAUCCGCAUCCGUUUUGAUUCUGUUCGACUCUGUUCUCUACCUUACGCCACCGUUUUGAUUAGGUUCUCUGCCAUUUUGAUUAUUUAUAGUGUACUCUUGUAUAGAUUUGUUUAUCUAAUCUCAAGGGUGGGUUAUUGCUUGGUUUAUCUAAUCUCACUAGUGGAAAUGAUGAGACUGAUGGAUGAGGCUUUCUCGUCUAUUGAGGGAUCCAUUUCAGAAGAAGCUCUUGAAAACGUCUGAGCUGCUUUAGGAACAGAUGAAUCUCCCCAGGAACACAUGAGGCGCAACUGGUCUAUUUGAAUAAGGUCUUUUGGGAAAUUAGACCAGUUGAUAAUGUUUCAGUGCAUUGUUUGAAAUUAGACUUUUGGGAAAAAUGGGAGAGAUGAAUCUCCUUAGGAACACAAACCACCUAUUAAGUACAUUCGUCUUCAUGAGUGUGACAAAUUUUCUGUAAGGAUAUAGAUUUUUUUUCUGUAUUCUGCAUCUUGUCCCUGUUUACUCUUUGUUACUCUAUUUGAAUAUAUUUUUAUCUUGGAUUGGACCAUGAAUUUUAGAUUCUCAAGGGAUGAGGUUUAAAUUUGCUUCAGUGUGAUGAUUAUAAGUUUUCAGCUUUUGAAUGUGUGUUAAUCUUGUAAUUCUUUUUGUGUGAAAGAGUGUCUUUUAUCUUCUUAAUUUUUGAGUUAAUUUUACCUAUUCUUUUUAGUUGUGUAAUUUAAUUGAAUGAAUGUAGAGUGCCUUUUUUAUCUUAUAAUAACUAGUUUUGUUUGGAGCUUUCAA